GACGGAGGAGGCAAGCGUUAUCCGGAAUUAUUGGGCGUAAAGGGUACGUAGGCGGCUGGUCAAGUCUGGGGUCAAAGGCCACAGCUCAACUGUGGAAAGGCCCUGGAAACUGACCGGCUAGAGUGAGGUAGUGGUUGCGGGAAUUCCCGGUGUAGCGGUGAAAUGCGUAGAGAUCGGGAAGAACACCUGAGGCGGAAGCGCGCAACUGGGCCUCAACUGACGCUGAGGUACGAAAGCUAGGGGAGCGAAUGUG
This 253-nucleotide ribosomal RNA is filed under the name uncultured bacterium. RNAcentral's name for it is "partial 16S ribosomal RNA". It matches the Rfam family "Bacterial small subunit ribosomal RNA", at positions 524 to 776 of the family's 1533-position model. The record is from RNAcentral.